AAAUGACAUUAAGAAUAACUACAGAAAACGUCUUUGCACCAACAAUAAAAAUAUAAUAUUCUUUGUUGCAAGCUCCACAUUAUCUUUCACAUGAUCUUGUUCUUUAAUCUUCAAAAUCUUCAUCUGUCAAAACAACAAUUUGAAGCAAAUUAAUUAGUAACAGAAAAAAGUUUGAACUUAAGGAUUAAUUAUCUUGAAUAGUUCCUGAUCUAUUUUUUGAUGUAUACAACUAGAAACAUAUUUACAGUUCUAGUUCAUGAAGUCUAGAUAAUUUCUCUACCCAACCUUCUACAUUGAGGAUCUCCACUGGCAGCCAGCAAGAGUUGUAUUACUUUCACAUUAACAUCUCAUAUAGAGGGUGGUUGGUGCUUCCUCAUUUAAAUAUUUAUUCAAGUGAAUGCUUCCUCAUACCCCACCGCUUUCACAAAUCCUGGGCCUCUUUCCAGUGUAAUGGA
This 455-nucleotide long non-coding RNA is filed under the name Solanum tuberosum (potato). Its description in RNAcentral is "long non-coding RNA (STUB_LNC001695)". Lineage: Eukaryota; Viridiplantae; Streptophyta; Magnoliopsida; Solanales; Solanaceae. The record is from RNAcentral.